AUGCGAAAACUGAAUUUUCAAGAAAAAAAAUUGAAAAUAUCUGGCUCCAUUCUCUCUCCCAUCCUCCAGCGUAUGAAAAAUAGAAAGGGAAAACAUCAAUCACGCCAUCGCUGGGCAAGGUUUUCUUUCGAAGAGAGCAGCACUCCGAGCGCCCGCUCUCGACAGAGGCUACGGCUCGAUUCGAUUCCAUUCCGACUCGUGCAUUGUCGAUCGAUCGAUCGAAUCGAUUCGAUGGAGGAUCGGGGGGUUGGAGGAGGUAGAGAAAGCUCGGUUGCUCAGCUUGGCUCUCGACUUCGGCUUCGACGAGCAGUCCGCCACCAAGUGCCUGGACCGCCUCGUUUCCCUCUACGGUAACUCGAAUCGUCUCUUCGUCGCCCAUUUCUUGUGCUGAUUAGCGUUUGCAGAGGUGUUUCUCGUCCCCACCAUGACGAUGGCUGUAGAACAGGGUGCUUAGUGAAGUAGUAUUACUGACGAGCAAAAUGUCUGGCACGGUUCCAGUUUGACGUGUCGAGGCUCCUUUGGAUGGUGGUUUCUCUUGGUCAUUGCCCGAAUUGGGUGGUAUAUGGUGAUUAGGGAAUGGCGUAAUUGCUUGUGUUGCGUGCAUGAUUUUUGAAUCGAUUGAUUGUGCGUUCCUAAAUAAGGAGAUUUGUUGCGGUUAGUCAGUGUUCUGAUGAUGGCUCUGAAAUUGCCUACUUUGGAUUUGAAUGGAAUGGAGCUGGUUGAGUUUUUGUUCAUUGACUGUUAAUCUCAUUGUCAUUUCUUUGUGGGUUUGGCGGAGUAGUCUUAUUGACUUGCAAAAUCAUCUCUUUCUUCGUUUGGUUUUUCUUAAAGUGACAAAGGUCGAGAGUUUAUCACCGUGGAGCACUGUGGCGAUGAUUUUCUAGCAGAACUUGCCGAAACUAUGCAAGAUACUGGGGAUUGGGAUGAUUUGCAAGCUGCGGAAUUAGAAGCUUGUGGAGUUUUGACUGACAUGUUUGGCCAAGAUAUCCCUAAUGAGGGCGAAUGCAGUGUUGUGCACAAUGUUAAUAUUAUAGAAGAUUCUCCACAACCUGAGAAAAAUCAAACUUUUCUUGAGGUAGAUUCCUCCACUGGCGGUGAGGAUGAAGAUGAUAUAUUUGGCAGUAAAAUGGGCAGGAAAUCGAUAUGCUAUAUUCCUGAUCAAAGCAGUACUCCGGGCAAUUCAUCCACUCAACUUCUGGCCAGACAUUCUUUAGAAUCCAUGGUAUGCUUCUGAAAACUGUGAAGUUGUCUCACUCCUUUCUGCCCCCACCAGUUUGAAGGGAUUAAGAAAAAGAAAGAAAAACAGGGUGGCUUGAUUUGGCUUGGGAUUGGCCCGUGUAAUUGCAUGGACCAAAUACGCGGCUUGAAGAAUGUCUCACUAUUGUAUAGGGUUGGCCGUUCGGUGAAGCAACUGUGGACACCUGAAGAAGCCACAAUAGUUACCGGGCAAAUUCCAGGAGUCUGGCCACAAUGGUCCAGUUGUUUAGGAGGUUGACAAAAAGUUGGCAGAUCUUGGCACGUCCUUUUAUUCUUUUAACAAUGAAUAUGCAACCCAUGUUUUUAUAUAUUCUUGUUGCUGAGGUAUAUUGGGGCCAACAUGGAAAAUGAGAAGAAUUGAGAAUAGAUUAUCUUGGUUUUUGAUCGAGAGAGAUUAGAGUGUCCUCAGAAAACUCUUGGGAAACGCUUUCCACUCGUCUCGUUCGUUUUUGAUUGACUCUUGCAAUUAGGGUUUUGGUUAGUGAGAAAUUGAUUUCUUUCUUGUUGUAAUUCACUCUUGGUCAUUCUGAAAUAACUCCUCCCGUUGACGUAGACGAAACUGCCCAACCCCUUAAAUUGGUGUGUCGCUGUUCUUUGCUCUUAAAAUUAUGUCUUUCCUUGAUCAUUUCCAGUUUGUUUGUAACUCUGCUCACAGCAAAAGACCUUACGCAGGGUACCUGUACAAAAGCAUUUAGUAAACUGAUUAUGAGGGCUCUCAUAUGACCAAAUGUAUAAUAGACACUCCUAACUCGCCAGUUACUUCCACAGUCUGUAAGAUCUAAAAUGACUUAUAUUUGAUUUGUUUGGUCAAUAAAAACAGUUGAGUUUUGUUUUGGAUGAUGUAACAAUACCUAUAUUUUCUCAAAUAUUUUGAGAGUAUAGUACAUCAUCCAAGUGUGGAACUUAGCAUCCAGCGUCUUCGAUAGGAGUGUUUCGUGAUAUGAAGGCUUGGGAUUUCUUUGUGCACAAUUUUCAUUUUGCAUCACUCCAUGUCAGAAACUAUUUAUGGUGCUGAAGAGGCAUAUUUGUGUUGAAGGACUGUAAGAACGCUGUCACUCAAGGUUCGAUAUCAUCAGUUUCAAAUAAAGACAUUCCUCUCAGAUUUUGACGUGCAAACUAGGAACUGUGAGUUAUGAGGAAUUGCAAGGCUUGGAUGACAUAGAAUUGGCAAAUGUUGUGAUAUUCGGAAACAAGGCGUUUCAACCAAUGCAGCAUCAGGGUUGUAAAGCUUCUGUAGCCAAGCAAGAUUGCUUCAUCUCAUGCCCACUAGAGGUGGUAAAAGUUUAUGUUACUAGGUUAGUGAAUGCUAACAUUAUUUCAUUUGUGUAAUGAUUGUACGUAGAAGUAUGUGUGGAGACAAUGUUUAGAGCACAAGCCCUGUGCACUUUGCUCAAUGGUUCCACCAACUAAAUGUCAAAGGGUGGACCUGUAUGUCAAAAUUUAAGCUUUAACAUGAUCUAAUAAUCUGCUUUGUUUAGCACUAUUAAGAAGGUUGUGAACUUAAGGAAGGAAAUGUUUAUCAAAUGAAAAUUAAGCAAUAGGAAGUGAAACAGGUACAUAACCAUGGUUUCCAA
Syzygium oleosum is the source of this 2831-nucleotide RNA transcript. RefSeq lists it as uncharacterized. The record is from RefSeq and is a predicted model, not a curated record. The transcript has 2 exons. NCBI's taxonomy places the organism in Eukaryota, Viridiplantae, Streptophyta, Magnoliopsida, Myrtales, Myrtaceae.